RNAcentral lists this unclassified non-coding RNA (240 nucleotides) under soil metagenome. RNAcentral's name for it is "partial contains 5.8S ribosomal RNA, internal transcribed spacer 2, and large subunit ribosomal RNA". The record is from RNAcentral.
AACAAGGCGUACCUGCGGACCUGCGGAGGGAUCAUUACAUGGCGGAGAAGGUGGGCACCUGGCAAACUCCAGGUUGUGAUGCCUUCACGCUCUUCCACCCUUGUCUAUUUGCACCUUCUGUCGUUCCCUCGGCGGGUUUCGACCCGCCGGCGGCAACAUUGAAAAACCUUUUUUGCAGUCAGCAUCCAAUUCUUCUGAUCAAAAUAUCAAAUCGUUACAACUUUUAACAAUGGAUCUCAG